RNAcentral lists this unclassified non-coding RNA (298 nucleotides) under uncultured fungus. RNAcentral describes it as "sequence contains ITS1". Lineage: Eukaryota; Fungi. The record is from RNAcentral.
CGGCUUGGACCAGAAGUACAGCGGGCAGAACGAAAGGCCGGCCGCCAACGCCGCCAAGGUCAUAUAGUCAGCCGUUACGCCGGCGCGGGCCAGGACGCUCAGCACCGGACCGAACAGACGCUCGCGCGCCCGCUGCCCCCACUGCAUGGCGCCGCGUUCGGCGGCCGAGUAGCAAUCGGCUUUGACGUCGGAAGAUUGCGGCAUGCGCGCCCCUUGGCUCUAGGCGCCAAUGUCGGGCUGAAGGAUCCGGAACUGCAACCCUUUGAUCGGAGCCCCGCCGUUGUGAAACGUCAGGCCG